CAAGUCGAACGGUGAAGAGGAGCUUGCUCCUUGGAUCAGUGGCGAACGGGUGAGUAACACGUGAGCAAUCUGCCCUUGACUCUGGGAUAACUGCGGGAAACUGUAGCUAAUACCGGAUAUUACCUUGGAAGGCAUUUUCUGGGGUGGAAAGAAUUUUGGUCAAGGAUGAGCUCGCGGCCUAUCAGCUAGUUGGUGAGGUAAUGGCUCACCAAGGCGACGACGGGUAGCCGGCCUGAGAGGGUGACCGGCCACACUGGGACUGAGACACGGCCCAGACUCCUACGGGAGGCAGCAGUGGGGAAUAUUGCACAAUGGGCGCAAGCCUGAUGCAGCAACGCCGCGUGAGGGACGACGGCCUUCGGGUUGUAAACCUCUUUUAGUAGGGAAGAAGCGACUGGGUUUUCCUGGGAGUGACGGUACCUGCAGAAAAAGCACCGGCUAACUACGUGCCAGCAGCCGCGGUAAUACGUAGGGUGCAAGCGUUGUCCGGAAUUAUUGGGCGUAAAGAGCUCGUAGGCGGUUUGUCGCGUCUGCUGUGAAAACCCGAGGCUCAACCUCGGGCCUGCAGUGGGUACGGGCAGACUAGAGUGCGGUAGGGGAGAUUGGAAUUCCUGGUGUAGCGGUGGAAUGCGCAGAUAUCAGGAGGAACACCAAUGGCGAAGGCAGAUCUCUGGGCCGUAACUGACGCUGAGGAGCGAAAGCAUGGGGA
Molecule: ribosomal RNA, 709 nt
Filed under: uncultured bacterium
Lineage: Bacteria
Description: bacterial SSU rRNA
Rfam family: Bacterial small subunit ribosomal RNA
Source: RNAcentral